GAUGAACGCUGGCGGCGUGCCUAAUACAUGCAAGUCGAGCGAACACACGCGGCGCUUUGUCGUCUGAUGUUAACGGCGGACGUGUUAGUAACGCGUGGAUACCCUACCUAUAAGACUCGAAUAACUUCAGGAAACAAUAGCUAAUACCCGAUAAUAUAUUGAACCGCAGGGUUUAAUACUUAAAGACGGUUUAGCUGUCGCUUAUAGAUGGAUCCGCGCCGCAUUAGCUAGUUGGUAAGGCAACGGCUUACCAAGUCGACGAUGCGUAGCCGACCUGAGAGGAUGAUCGGCCACACUGGAACUGAGACACGGUCCAGACUCCUACGGGAGGCAGCAGUAGGGAAUUUUGCGCAAUGGGCGGAAGCCUGAUGGAGCAACGCCGCGUGAAGGAGGAAGGUCUUCGGAUCGUAAAACUCUGUUAUAAGGGAAGAACAAGUGUGUAAGUAACUAUGCACGUCAUGACGGUACCGAAACAGAAAGCCACGGCUAACUACGUG
RNAcentral lists this ribosomal RNA (497 nucleotides) under uncultured bacterium. RNAcentral's name for it is "partial 16S ribosomal RNA". It matches the Rfam family "Bacterial small subunit ribosomal RNA", at positions 28 to 507 of the family's 1533-position model. The record is from RNAcentral.